UACAGAGGGGGCAAGCGUUGUUCGGAAUUACUGGGCGUAAAGGGCGCGUAGGCGGCCUUCUAAGUCGAACGUGAAAUCCCUGGGCUCAACCCAGGAACUGCGUCCGAUACUGGAAGGCUUGAAUCCGGGAGAGGGAUGCGGAAUUCCAGGUGUAGCGGUGAAAUGCGUAGAUAUCAGGAGGAACACCGGUGGCGAAGGCGGCAUCCUGGACCAACACUGACGCUGAGGAGCGAAAGCCAGGGGAGCAAACGGG
This 253-nucleotide ribosomal RNA is filed under the name uncultured bacterium. RNAcentral describes it as "partial 16S ribosomal RNA". It matches the Rfam family "Bacterial small subunit ribosomal RNA", at positions 524 to 776 of the family's 1533-position model. The record is from RNAcentral.